CGAGUAAAUCAGGUGAUCGCGGGUACCAGGCCGAAAGGCGGUACUCGAGGAAAGUCCGAGCUCCACAGGGCAGGGUGCUGGGUAAUACCCAGUGGGGGCGACUCUAAGGAAAGUGCCACAGAAAUAAACCGCCUGCACAUUGGAAGUUGGAUGUUGGAAGUUGGAUGUUAGAAUCGUUGGAAUUUGGCAAAGCCAAAUUCCUUCAUAAUCCAAUCUCCAACCUCUAACCUCUAACUUCCAGUGUGGGGUAAGGGUGGAACGGUGAGGUAAGAGCUCACCAGCGGCCAGGUGACUGGUCGGCUAGGUAAACCCCACCUGGAGCAAGACCGAAUAGAGGGGCAAUGGAACGGCCCGUUCCGCUCCCGGGUAAGGUCGCUUGAGGCGUGCUGGUAACAGCCGUCCCAGAUAGAUGAUCAUCCAACGACAGAACUCGGCUUAUCGAUUUACUCGGUUC
This 454-nucleotide RNase P RNA is filed under the name Bacillota bacterium. RNAcentral describes it as "RNase P RNA component class A". It matches the Rfam family "Bacterial RNase P class A". Rfam says of the family: Ribonuclease P (RNase P) is a ubiquitous endoribonuclease, found in archaea, bacteria and eukarya as well as chloroplasts and mitochondria. Its best characterised activity is the generation of mature 5'-ends of tRNAs by cleaving the 5'-leader elements of precursor-tRNAs. Lineage: Bacteria; Bacillati; Bacillota. The record is from RNAcentral.